UGUGGCUCAGUUGGCAGAGUGCUUGGCUAGCAUCCAUGAGGCCCUAGGUUCAAUCCUUAGCA
RNAcentral lists this transfer RNA (62 nucleotides) under Neotoma lepida (desert woodrat). It matches the Rfam family "tRNA", at positions 6 to 65 of the family's 71-position model. Rfam says of the family: Transfer RNA (tRNA) molecules are approximately 80 nucleotides in length. Lineage: Eukaryota; Metazoa; Chordata; Mammalia; Rodentia; Cricetidae. The record is from Rfam by way of RNAcentral.